UACGAAGGGGGCUAGCGUUGUUCGGAAUCACUGGGCGUAAAGCGCUCGUAGGCGGAUCUUUAAGUCAGAGGUGAAAUCCCAAGGCUCAACCUUGGAACUGCCUUUGAUACUGGGGAUCUCGAGUCCGGGAGAGGUGAGUGGAACUGCGAGUGUAGAGGUGAAAUUCGUAGAUAUCGAGAGGAACACCUGCGGCGAAGGCGGGUUGCUGGGCUGAUACUGACGCUGAGGCGCGAAAGCCAGGGGAGCGAACGGG
Molecule: ribosomal RNA, 253 nt
Filed under: uncultured bacterium
Lineage: Bacteria
Description: partial 16S ribosomal RNA
Rfam family: Bacterial small subunit ribosomal RNA
Source: RNAcentral